AAACAACAUGUCUUGGGAAAAUAUCAAUAAAAGGUUGGAAGUUGAUGGGAAGUCGGGAGAUGCAGGUGAUAAGACAACUUGAAUAUUGUACAAUGGAAUGCAAGAAGCUUGUUAGCAAAUGGUCAAGAGUUUAAAGGUUUUAUAAAAGGGUUUAAAAAGAAACCAGAAAUCAUAUGCAUUCAGGAAACCUGGCUUAAACCAGUUUUAGAUUUUAGUAUUAAAGGUUAUGAAAGUAUACGCAGGGAUAGAGAGGAAGAUAUUGGGGGAGGGUGUAUAAUAUUUGUGAAACAAGGAAUACAAUAUAAGGUUUUAGGGAAAGGAAAGGAGUUGGAAUUUAUAAUAAUAGAAGUAUUGGAAAAAAAAGGAAAUGUUAAAAUUAUAAAUUUUUAUAAUCCAUGUAAAAGACUAUCACUAGAGGUAUUGGAUGAAUUGAUUGUACAUUUAGAAGGGAAAAUCAUAUGUUGCGGAGAUUUUAAUGCUCAUAGCACGUUAUGGGACAAUUGUAAUGAUGGGAAUGGAAUAGUGAUUGAAGAAUUAAUGGAGAUUAAGGAUUUAGUAUGUUUAAAUGAUGGAAGGGGAGCAAGGAUUAAUGUAAGAACAGGAACAGAAGCAGCUAUUGAUCUUACACUUGUUUCAGAUUCACUGGCGGGUAUAUGCUUAUGGGAGGUGUUUAGAGAAAUGACUAUAGGGAGUGAUCAUUAUCCUAUAGUGAUUGAAGUAAAUUUAUGUAUAGAAGCGUGCAAUACAGGAGGAGUAGACAAAUGGUUUUUUGAAAAUGCAGAUUGGGAGGCAUUUAGGAGUAUUAGUGAACAAGAAAUGGAAAAAAUUGAAGUUAAAGAAGAGGUUGAUAAGGUUAAUAAUGAUAUUUGUAAUGCUAUAUUGUUAGCAGCAAGUCAGACUAUUCCAAAGAAGGGAGGUAAGAAAAAAAAAAAAGAUUGUACCAUGGUGGACAAAAGAAUGUGAUCAAGCAAUUAAAUCUCGAAAUAAAGCUUUUAAAAUGUUAAAAAAGAAUCAUAGUUUUCAGAAUUUUAUUGAAUAUAAAAGGAAGCAAGCAAAUGUAAGGAGAAUCAUCAAAUAUACAAAAAAAGAGUUUUGGAGGAAAUUUUGUAAUACAGUGGGAAGGGAAACCGAAAUAGGUCAAGUAUGGGGAAUGAUAAAAAGAAUGAAUGGGAUAAAAAGAGAGUUUGGGUAUCCAAUUUUAAGGGAUGGAGAUACAACAGCUGUAAAAGAUGAAGAGAAAGCAGAAAUGUUGGCGAAAAAUUUUGUUAAAAUACAUAAAUCAGACAAUAUUAGUGAGGAGGGAAAAAGAGGAAGGGAAAGGACGUUGG
This 1328-nucleotide long non-coding RNA is filed under the name Sinocyclocheilus grahami. Its description in RNAcentral is "lncRNA (ENSSGRG00000054529.1)". The record is from RNAcentral. Lineage: Eukaryota; Metazoa; Chordata; Actinopteri; Cypriniformes; Cyprinidae.